This 537-nucleotide ribosomal RNA is filed under the name uncultured Chloroflexota bacterium. Its description in RNAcentral is "bacterial SSU rRNA". It matches the Rfam family "Bacterial small subunit ribosomal RNA", at positions 233 to 795 of the family's 1533-position model. The record is from RNAcentral. Lineage: Bacteria; Bacillati; Chloroflexota.
GCGUCCUAUCCAGGUAGUUGGUGGGGGUAGGCCUACCAAGCCAAACGGACCGGUGUGAGACAUGAUCGGUAGAGGGGGACUGAGACACGGCCCCCACCCCUACGGGAGGCAGCAGCAGGGAAUCUUGCGCAAUGGGCGAAAGCCUGACGCAGCGACACCGCGUGGGGGAAGAAGGCUUUAUCGUAAACCUCUUUUCUCAGGGAGGAGAAUGGACAGUACCUGAGGAAUAAGGUUCGGCUAACUACGUGCCAGCAGCCGCGGUAAUACGUAGGAACCGAGCGUUGUCCGAAUUUACUGGGCGUAAAGGGCGCGUAGGCGGCUUGUUUAGUCUCAUGUGAAAUCUCCCGGCUUAACUGGGAGGGGUCAUGGGAAACUGGCAGGCUCGAGGGCAGUAGAGGGAAGCGGAAUUCCCGGAGUAGUGGUGAAAUGCGUAGAUACCGGGAGGAACACCAGAGGCGAAAGCGGCUUCCUGGACUGUCCCUGACGCUCGAGGCGCGAAAGCGUGGGGAGCAAACCGGAUUAGAUACCCUGGUAGUC